AAACCAGCAUCUCAAGUGGUCAGGAUGAUUAUUGGGCCUAAAGCAUCCGUAGCCGGCUCUGUAAGUUUUCGGUUAAAUCUGUACGCUUAACGUACAGGCUGCCGGGAAUACUGCAGAGCUAGGGAGUGGGAGAGGUAGACGGUACUCGGGAGGAAGUGGUAAAAUGCUUUGAUCUCUCGAUGACCACCUGUGGCGAAGGCGGUCUACCAGAACACGUCCGACGGUGAGGGAUGAAAGCUGGGGGAGCAAACCGGAUUAGAAACCCUGGUAGUCC
Molecule: ribosomal RNA, 274 nt
Filed under: uncultured bacterium
Lineage: Bacteria
Description: partial 16S ribosomal RNA
Rfam family: Archaeal small subunit ribosomal RNA
Source: RNAcentral